CAGUAGUCACCCGGGGCGCCGCAAGGCCUCCCGGGUAACCUACCACCCUUUGUUUAUUACACUUUGUUGCUUUGGCAGGCCUGCCCUCGGGCUGCUGGCUCCGGCCGGCGAGCGCUUCGGCGGCCGCCAGAGGACCCUAAACUCUUGUUUACAGUGUCGUCUGAGUACUAUACAAUAGUUA
RNAcentral lists this unclassified non-coding RNA (181 nucleotides) under uncultured Geomyces. RNAcentral's name for it is "sequence contains ITS1". Lineage: Eukaryota; Fungi; Ascomycota; Leotiomycetes; Myxotrichaceae. The record is from RNAcentral.